ACUCCUACGGGAGGCAGCAGUAGGGAAUAUUGGUCAAUGGGUGAGAGCCUGAACCAGCCAUGCCGCGUGCAGGAAGACGGCCUUCUGGGUUGUAAACUGCUUUUACCAGGGGAUAAAAAGAUCUUGCGAGAUUAAUUGAAGGUACCUGGAGAAUAAGCACCGGCUAACUACGUGCCAGCAGCCGCGGUAAUACGUAGGGUGCAAGCGUUGUCCGGAUUUAUUGGGUUUAAAGGGUGCGUAGGCGGGCUAUUAAGUCAGUGGUGAAAUCCAGCAGCUUAACUGUUGAUGUGCCAUUGAUACUGGUAGUCUUGAGUACAGAUGAGGUAGGCGGAAUUGACAGUGUAGCGGUGAAAUGCAUAGAUAUUGUCAAGAACUCCGAUAGCGAAGGCAGCUUACUGGGCUGUAACUGACGCUGAUGCACGAAAGUGUGGGGAUCAAACAGGAUUAGAUACCCUGGUAGCGAGUAG
Molecule: ribosomal RNA, 467 nt
Filed under: uncultured bacterium
Lineage: Bacteria
Description: bacterial SSU rRNA
Rfam family: Bacterial small subunit ribosomal RNA
Source: RNAcentral